UAAACUUAAUAAUUUGGCUGUAAUUAUUUUAUAAAGGAGCUUGUAAUUUAAUCGAAAUCACACGAAUAUUUUACUUAUAUUUAUCUUGUAUAUCUCCGUAUAGAUUUUAUUUGAGAUAUUUUGAUAAUUUUCUUACUAGUAAAAUUUAAUACAACAGGUCAAGGUGCAGUGUAUAUAAGAUAUUAUGCGCUACAUUAAAUAAUUAGUUAGAUGGAUUUUUUAUGCAAUUUUUUAUGAAAGUGGAUUUAUAAGUAAAAUAAUAUAUUAUAUUUAUUUGAAAAUAUGUUAAUUAUGUACACAU
This 301-nucleotide ribosomal RNA is filed under the name Opisthopatus cinctipes. Its description in RNAcentral is "partial 12S ribosomal RNA". The record is from RNAcentral. Lineage: Eukaryota; Metazoa; Onychophora; Udeonychophora; Euonychophora; Peripatopsidae.